GGGCAGGUGGCCGAGCGGCCAAUGGCACCAGACUGUAAAUCUGGCGAGGUCUCCUCUACGGGGGUUCAAAUCCCUCCCUGCCCA
Molecule: transfer RNA, 84 nt
Filed under: Planctomycetia bacterium
Lineage: Bacteria; Pseudomonadati; Planctomycetota; Planctomycetia
Description: tRNA-Tyr
Rfam family: tRNA
About the family: Transfer RNA (tRNA) molecules are approximately 80 nucleotides in length. Their secondary structure includes four short double-helical elements and three loops (D, anti-codon, and T loops). Further hydrogen bonds mediate the characteristic L-shaped molecular structure. tRNAs have two regions of fundamental functional importance: the anti-codon, which is responsible for specific mRNA codon recognition, and the 3' end, to which the tRNAs corresponding amino acid is attached (by aminoacyl-tRNA synthetases). tRNAs cope with the degeneracy of the genetic code in two manners: having more than one tRNA (with a specific anti-codon) for a particular amino acid; and 'wobble' base-pairing, i.e. permitting non-standard base-pairing at the 3rd anti-codon position.
Source: RNAcentral